AACGAACGCUGGCGGCAUGCCUAACACAUGCAAGUCGAACGAGACCUUCGGGUCUAGUGGCGCACGGGUGCGUAACGCGUGGGAACCUGCCCGUAGGUUCGGAAUAACUCCCCGAAAGGUGUGCUAAUACCAGAUAAUGUCUUCGGACCAAAGAUUUAUGGCCUUUGGAUGGGCCCGCGUUGGAUUAGCUGGUUGGUAGGGUAAAAGCCUACCAAGGCGACGAUCCAUGGCUGGUCGGAGAGGAUGAUCAGCCACACUGGGACUGAGACACGGCCCAGACUCGUACGGGAGGGAGCAGUGGGGAAUAUUGGACAAUGGGCGAAAGCCUGAUACAGCAAUGCCGCGUGAGUGAGGAAGGCCUUAGGGUUGUAAAGCUCUCUUACCCGGGAUGAUAAUGACAGUACCGGGAGAAUAAGCACCGGCUAACUCCGUG
This 433-nucleotide ribosomal RNA is filed under the name uncultured bacterium. Its description in RNAcentral is "partial 16S ribosomal RNA". It matches the Rfam family "Bacterial small subunit ribosomal RNA", at positions 29 to 507 of the family's 1533-position model. The record is from RNAcentral.